This 433-nucleotide ribosomal RNA is filed under the name uncultured bacterium. RNAcentral describes it as "partial 16S ribosomal RNA". It matches the Rfam family "Bacterial small subunit ribosomal RNA", at positions 29 to 507 of the family's 1533-position model. The record is from RNAcentral.
AACGAACGCUGGCGGCAUGCCUAACACAUGCAAGUCGAACGAGACCUUCGGGUCUAGUGGCGCACGGGUGCGUAACGCGUGGGAACCUGCCCUUAGGUUCGGAAUAACUCCCCGAAAGGGGUGCUAAUACCGGAUAAUGUCUUCGGACCAAAGAUUUAUCGCCUUUGGAUGGGCCCGCGUUUGAUUAGGUAGUUGGUAGGGUAAAAGCCUACCAAGGCGACAAUACAUAGCUGGUCUGAGAGGAUGAUCAGCCACACUGGGACUGAGACACGGCCCAGACUCCUACGGGAGGCAGCAGUGGGGAAUAUUGGACAAUGGGCGAAAGCCUGAUCCAGCAAUGCCGCGUGAGUGAUGAAGGCCUUAGGGUUGUAAAGCUCUUUUACCCGGGAUGAUAAUGACAGUACCGGGAGAAUAAGCUCCGGCUAACUCCGUG